Molecule: long non-coding RNA, 2732 nt
Filed under: Sus scrofa (pig)
Lineage: Eukaryota; Metazoa; Chordata; Mammalia; Artiodactyla; Suidae
Description: lncRNA (ENSSSCG00055016532.1)
Source: RNAcentral
AUGUUUGUUGUUUAUAUCUUUACUUGAGUUUGCUCCUGAAUAACUAUCUGUCCUUGAAUAAAUUUCUUUUACAGAGGACAUGCUGCUAUUUUCCUCGCUAUUAGAAGAUUCUUAAUUGUCUUUGGCAAACUUAGCUCUGAAAUGAAACUCAUCAUUUCAAUUCAAGAUAGGUGAAUGUGUUAAAAAGAAUAAUUUCAUGAUUAGAGGAAAAUGAUAGAUUUAAACCCAAUUCUGUCCUCCAACACAGCCAAUUGGGUUUCCUAUUUAGAGGCAGUGCUCACAAAUACCUGAUCAAAUGACUGUGAGAUCACAGGAGAGAACAACGGUUUUAAUAACUUCAACAAAUUUUUAUAAUUUUAUUAAAAUUAUUCAUGAUUCUUCUAGUUUGUGAGAAGACUUAGAAAAAAAUCCGGAUUGGUUCAACAAGAGUAUGAAGCAAUUCUCUUGGAAUAUGAUUAAUGUUUGAAAAUGUAUGGGGAAGUUAACCUUGGGAAGAUCCAUUGGGUUCUCUCUUCCCACGAGUAGGACAGCCCAUCCUUGAGCAGAGGUUCUGUGCAAAAUACACGCGCUCUUUCCUUGCCACCAUAGCUCCCACAGCCUGGGGAACUUCUAUAUGCUGCAGGUGUGGCCAAAAGAGAGAAAAUUUUUUUAUAAUGCUCAGUUUGUAUUUCUUUCAAAUCCACCUCUUCCUUUCUCAGAUAGACUUACUCUUUUAUCAUGGGCUCUCUCUCUCCUUUUUUUUUUUACCUUGAUCAUCCUUAAAAUUAUUCUUUUAUACUUUUUUUUCAGAUUACUCUAUUACCCCUAGUUCUUAGGGAACUGAUUUUCUUGUCUACUGAAUAUGCUAAUUAUCCCUCAGUACUUAAUGUUUUCCUGUAGUUUAUAUAUUUUUAUUGUGAGCUUGCUCUCUAUCUCUCUAUCUAUCUGUCUGUCUUGCUCUAUCUCUCUUUCACUCUCAUUGAUCUGUGAGACUCACAUUUUGGGUUGUGUGAAUGCCCCCGGAAAUCUAUGUCUAUAUAUCUUAUAUCUGAAUAUCUAUAUAUCUUAUAUCUGUAUAUCUAUAUAUCUUAUACCAAUGAACUCCUAUAUUAUUUCUUUAAAAAUACAUCUAUAUUAAUUUCUUAUCUAGGAAUUCCAUACAAUUAGCGUAGUAUCCCAAAUCCCCAAGCUUUGUUGUGUGCUGCCCUUUGCUUUCUUGUAGGUAACAUUUAUUUCCACAAUCCCAGAAGGAUGACUUUAUUCCUGAAUUCCUGGGAUGUGAAAAGGCUUUCUAUUUCCCUUUUCAAAGCCUGAACAGAUUUAGUUUUGUGCAGAGGGCUUAGUUCCAGCUCCAUACCUUUUUUAGACUCAAGAUCCCAUCCAUGUUUCCUGAAUGUUGUUUACAAAAUCCUAGUAUCCAGUGUCUAGGGCUCAUAUCUGUGGCUGAAACCUUCAUUUGGAUUUACUAAUUUCUCAGGCACCCAAAGAUUUCGUUUUUUUUUUUUUUAAUUCCAAAUUUAUUUUACUUUUAUGUUUUAUUAAGGUUUAUUCCAUGUUUUAUAGAAUUGAGCAAUAAAGUGGUCAUCUAUAUUAGUGUUGUCAAACAUCCUAAGCAUUUAAAAAAGAUUUUCUACAGAUCUUGUCCAUGCUUUUCUCAUCUAUUUCAAUUGUGAUUGAGAGAAUGUGCUAAUAUUCAAUUUCCCAGAAUCUAAGAAAAUGAAGAGGCUGAAAUUAAUAACUGACUCAAUCAUCUCUUCAGUUCUUUCAACAUUAAUUCCUAAACAAUACCAAUAACACAUCUUAGAAAAUAGCACAUUCCGGGUUUAACUGUAGUCUGUUUCUCCAUGGAGGAUCGAAAACUUUGUAAAGUCUUUAUUUGAGACAGACCUUGAAAGGUAAAUAGAUGCUCUCACUGGACAGAAAGUAGUAUUCUUGGCUUGGUGAGGAGGAUGAAUAAAGGCCUGAACAUGAAAGAGUGUAGCACGAUCAGAGAACUGCAAGUAGCUCUGUAGACAAAAGCAUAAGAUAGGUUUGAGGUAGAUAGAGGUGGGAGCAUUGAGAACUGCAGACAGAGAGGUGAGCAAAGAUCAAAUUGUGGUGUUUCUUUAUAUCAGGCUGAGGAAUUCGAACUUAGUUCCUAUGGGAAAGAAUAAACAGUUUCAAGCUUAUCAGCUUUGUGCUUUAGGAAGAUUUGUUCUAAAGAACACUGUGGGGAAUAAACAGAAAAGGAAUGAAGCUGGAAGUAGGAAAUGAUCCUGCAUCCUUACUGCAGAUUAGGAGAAGCCAAAAUAUGCAAAUAAUAAUAGGGAAUGAAAAGGAAACCAACAAACAAAACAGAUAUUAAUGAGCAAGAAUUAAUCCGAUUUAGUCAUAUUUAAACGAUGCCCUCCACCAUGACUUGAAAUACAGAAACAGAUUUGAAGACAUGAUAAAAAGUACAUUUAGAUACAUUGAUUUUUCAGGCAACUGUGGAACAUAGGACAUUGGAGAUCCUAGGACAUUUAUCUAGCCUAGAUAUAUAGCUUGUGAUAGAAUCAGAAAGUUCUUUGUUGGGCUAAUAUACCUCUUGUAGCUUUUGCUGAACAAGAGAAAGGGAAGAAAUUGGCUCUUUUGAUGUUUUCUUAGAGAGCAUUUAUUCUUCAUUCAUGCAAUCAGCCAGUAGUUAUUUAGAACCUGCUCUGUGAUGGACACCUCAGUUUGUACUGGAGAUCUUGUAGUGUACCAGAAAAACAUGGUUCCUGCACUCCACCCUC